This 66-nucleotide small nucleolar RNA is filed under the name Lasius niger. The record is from RNAcentral. Lineage: Eukaryota; Metazoa; Arthropoda; Insecta; Hymenoptera; Formicidae.
AAAUAUGUGAUGUUAUUUUACUGCCCCAGUCUGAGAACUAUGACUGAAUCAGUUGUCUGAAAAUUG